GUAAACUGCCUUUAGUCUUUUCAAAAUAUUCAACUUCAUUUUCAUAAUUUGUUUUUUUUUUUGUUUCAUGGUGGAUUUUUUUGUACUCAUAUCUCAUUCUUAUAUGUAAUAGGCGUAAAGAAGUUUCAAGACAAAUCACUAAGUCUAAACGUACAACUCAACUGAUCUGUGCUGUUUCAUUUUAAAAAUGCUGGUCAUGACCCAAUGAAUUUAUUUCAUCUAGUAAAUUGGUAUGAAGACCUGCAGUUUGAAAAAUACUGUGUUAAAGAGUAGUGUAGUGUUCAGUACACACUGGCAUCAGUGGCUGUUAGAGAGGAAUAAAGAGUGUCUGUUAAUGCACUGAAUUGUUUAGGUAGUGUUCCAUUAAGAGAGUUUCUGCUGUAUUAAAAUUCUGUUGGAUUAAAUUUCUGGGUCAACCACUAGGCUUGGAAAUCUCAUUGCACUCAAGCUUUGGCUGUUAUAGUUUGAGUUUUUCAGAUACUGGGCCUGGGCCUAAAGCUCUCAAGCUUAGAGUCCGUGCUAAUUGCCUAUGAAGUUCACGUUACACAUGUAACUGACUAUAACUGAGCCAUUUUAAGGCCAUUUGAUUAUAUCCUUUUCUAAGGAUAAAACAAGGAGAUUGAUUGAUUAAAUGUCCACGCUAAUCUAAGAAAACACUUUUCCUAGUUUAUGACAAUGUCUAAGGCUUCUAAGAACCACCACUUAAGUUCUUAGUUAGCUCUGUUUUCUCUGCAAGCACACGGGACUUGAAAGAUAUUUGAUGGAGCCAGAGAAGGAUAUGGCAAGCAAGAAUAUUUGUUUAAGUUGAAAUCAAGAUCUUCCUCCUCCUUGGUAGAGGCUCCCAGAUACAAAGGAUACUGGGGGCUAUCCUGCUAGAAAGCAUAGUAGAAUCAGGUGAGUGUUUUCCUGGGUUGAUAGCUUUAUUUACCCUGAUCUGUAGGAAUAACUCUCAGGAAUUUACCUCUUUUCAAAAUACCUGUCAUUCAGGAAAGAUGAGGCCAGAGAAAGGAUAGAUUAUCUGUUGAGAAAUGUCUAGGAAUCCCUGCCUACAACUCAGGCACCUAUAUCCCUUUUUAAUGAGGGCACACACUAUGACUUCUUUCAUUUUUGAGGAUGUCAGCCCUGGACCCUUAGGUUUGAUGUGGAGAUGGCUGGGAAGCAGGGCUGGUAAGAGAUGUGCACUUAGGCAUAUUUCUUGGCUCCUCUAGCUGUUUUUCUGAAUCUUCUAAGGUGGAACUCCCUCCUGCAGUUAUUAUAGAGAUGACCCAAUAAUAUCAGAGAGAGGAGACAACCAAUUCUGCAAACAUGCCCUAAUGGGGGAGUCAUCACAGUUUUGUAGUCCCCAAAACUCAUGUCAUCAAUGUGACCAGAAUGACCGGACCCUCAGGGACGGAUUCAUCUAGCCAGACUUGCUGAAGACUCAUGAGCGAACAGAACUCCAGUUCAUGAUGGAGACAUUUAUCUCUGGUGACCAAAAAACUCUAUGAUUGUUCUCCAGGACCCCCAUGGCUAAAUCCUGGGUACCUGGGGAAUCAUGCUAGUAACCAGAAAGUUGUUUGGUGAUCGCAAGAUCACGAAAGAGAAAUGUCUAGUGUUAUGGGUUGAAUUGUGUCCCUUCCAAAUUCAUAUGUUAAUGUCCUAACCCCUAGUACCUCAGAAUGUGACCUUAUUUGGAAAUAGACUUGUAGCAGAUAUAAUUACAGCUGACCCUUGAACCAUGUGGGCAUUAGACAUGCCAACCUGCAUAGUUAAAAAUGCAUGUAUAACUUCUACUCCCCCAAAACUUAGCUACAAAUAGCCUACUGUCAACCCAAAGCCUUACCAAUAACAGAAACAGUGGAUUAACACAUAUUUUGUAUAUUUUAUGUAUUACAUACAAUGAUCUUACGAUAAAGUAAGUUAGAAAGUGUCAAGAAAAUCAUAAGGAAAAUACAUUUAUAGUACUGUACUGUAUUUAUUGAUACCGUAAGUUUGCAUCACCUGUCUACAAGAUGAAUUGUCUGUCUGAAUUGGCAGCAACAGCAACUGCAGACCUCAAUCUAUAGUGCAUAUCAAGCAAUUCAGCUUUUUGUUGUAAACUCAUAACUUUUCUCUGCUUCUUGGGAGCACUUCAAGCAUCACUAGUGGCACUUUGCAUGGGUCCCAUGGUGUUAUUCAAAGUUUAUAGUAUUGCACUAAACACGUUGAAAAAUAUGUGAGAACUGACAGAGAUCACUUUUUACUGCAAUAUGCAAUUUACUGGAGAGAUGAACUGCUCAUGCGGAGAUGAUGAGCGUCACAUGGCAUUUUAAGUGGAUACUCACAACACUUGAGCUUACCGCAAUAACAACAGGAAGUGGCUAUGAAAUUAUUACAGUAGUACAAUAUUACUACAGUUAAUUUUACGCAGUUAUGAUUUAAUACUGCAUCUUUACAUUUGUUUACAUUUCUCUCAACUUUGAAUGGCUCCCCA
This 2452-nucleotide long non-coding RNA is filed under the name Homo sapiens (human). Its description in RNAcentral is "HSALNT0307256". The record is from RNAcentral. Lineage: Eukaryota; Metazoa; Chordata; Mammalia; Primates; Hominidae.